UACGUAGGGGGCAAGCGUUAUCCGGAUUCACUGGGCGUAAAGGGAGCGCAGGCGGCACGGCAAGUCUGGUGUGAAAGCCCGGGGCCCAACCCCGGGACUGCAUUGGAAACUGCCGGGCUGGAGUGCCGGAGGGGUAAGCGGAAUUCCUAGUGUAGCGGUGAAAUGCGUAGAUAUUAGGAGGAACACCAGUGGCGAAGGCGGCCUGCUGGACGACAACUGACGGUGAGGCGCGAAAGCGUGGGGAGCAAACAGG
This 253-nucleotide ribosomal RNA is filed under the name uncultured bacterium. Its description in RNAcentral is "partial 16S ribosomal RNA". It matches the Rfam family "Bacterial small subunit ribosomal RNA", at positions 524 to 776 of the family's 1533-position model. The record is from RNAcentral.